RNAcentral lists this ribosomal RNA (1428 nucleotides) under uncultured organism. RNAcentral's name for it is "SSU rRNA". It matches the Rfam family "Bacterial small subunit ribosomal RNA". The record is from RNAcentral.
UGGCGGCGUGGAUAAGACAUGCAAGUCGAACGAGAGAAUUGCUAGCUUGCUAAUAAUUCUCUAGUGGCGCACGGGUGAGUAACACGUGAGUAACCUGCCCCCGAGAGCGGGAUAGCCCUGGGAAACUGGGAUUAAUACCGCAUAGUAUCGAAAGAUUAAAGCAGCAAUGCGCUUGGGGAUGGGCUCGCGGCCUAUUAGUUAGUUGGUGAGGUAACGGCUCACCAAGGCGAUGACGGGUAGCCGGUCCGAGAGGAUGUCCGGCCACACUGGAACUGAGACACGGUCCAGACACCUACGGGUGGCAGCAGUCGAGAAUCAUUCACAAUGGGGGAAACCCUGAUGGUGCGACGCCGCGUGGGGGAAUGAAGGUCUUCGGAUUGUAAACCCCUGUCAUGUGGGAGCAAAUUAAAAAGAUAGUACCACAAGAGGAAGAGACGGCUAACUCUGUGCCAGCAGCCGCGGUAAUACAGAGGUCUCAAGCGUUGUUCGGAAUCACUGGGCGUAAAGCGUGCGUAGGCUGUUUCGUAAGUCGUGUGUGAAAGGCGCGGGCUCAACCCGCGGACGGCACAUGAUACUGCGAGACUAGAGUAAUGGAGGGGGAACCGGAAUUCUCGGUGUAGCAGUGAAAUGCGUAGAUAUCGAGAGGAACACUCGUGGCGAAGGCGGGUUCCUGGACAUUAACUGACGCUGAGGCACGAAGGCCAGGGGAGCGAAAGGGAUUAGAUACCCCUGUAGUCCUGGCAGUAAACGGUGCACGCUUGGUGUGCGGGGAAUCGACCCCCUGCGUGCCGGAGCUAACGCGUUAAGCGUGCCGCCUGGGGAGUACGGUCGCAAGAUUAAAACUCAAAGAAAUUGACGGGGACCCGCACAAGCGGUGGAGUAUGUGGCUUAAUUCGAUGCAACGCGAAGAACCUUACCUGGGCUUGACAUGUAAUGAACAACAUGUGAAAGCAUGCGACUCUUCGGAGGCGUUACACAGGUGCUGCAUGGCCGUCGUCAGCUCGUGUCGUGAGAUGUUUGGUUAAGUCCAGCAACGAGCGCAACCCCUGUUGCCAGUUACCAGCACGUGAAGGUGGGGACUCUGGCGAGACUGCCCAGAUCAACUGGGAGGAAGGUGGGGACGACGUCAGGUCAGUAUGGCCCUUAUGCCCAGGGCUGCACACGUACUACAAUGCCCAGUACAGAGGGGGCCGAAGCCGCGAGGCGGAGGAAAUCCUGAAAACUGGGCCCAGUUCGGACUGUAGGCUGCAACCCGCCUACACGAAGCCGGAAUCGCUAGUAAUGGCGCAUCAGCUACGGCGCCGUGAAUACGUUCCCGGGUCUUGUACACACCGCCCGUCACAUCAUGGAAGCCGGUCGCACCCGAAGUAUCUGAAGCCAACCGCAAGGAGGCAGGGUCCUAAGGUGAGACUGGUAACUGGGAUGAAA